RNAcentral lists this ribosomal RNA (445 nucleotides) under uncultured bacterium. RNAcentral's name for it is "partial 16S ribosomal RNA". It matches the Rfam family "Bacterial small subunit ribosomal RNA", at positions 354 to 796 of the family's 1533-position model. The record is from RNAcentral.
GUGAGGAAUAUUGGUCAAUGGGCGAAAGCCUGAACCAGCCAUGUCGCGUGAAGGAUGAAGGUCCUAUGGAUUGUAAACUUCUUUUGCAGGAGGGUAAAGUGAGCUACGUGUAGUUCAUUGCAAGUACCCUGCGAAUAAGCAUCGGCUAACUCCGUGCCAGCAGCCGCGGUAAUACGGAGGAUGCGAGCGUUAUCCGGAUUUAUUGGGUUUAAAGGGUGCGUAGGCGGACUAAUUAGUCAGUGGUGAAAUUUUGCGGCUCAACCGUAAAACUGCCGUUGAAACUGGUAGUCUUGAGUGCGGUAGAGGUAGGCGGAAUGUGUGGUGUAGCGGUGAAAUGCUUAGAUAUCACACAGAACACCGAUUGCGUAGGCAGCUUACGGGAGCGCAACUGACGCUGAGGCACGAAAGCGUGGGGAUCGAACAGGAUUAGAAACCCCUGUAGUCC